Long non-coding RNA from Sinocyclocheilus grahami, 485 nucleotides. RefSeq lists it as uncharacterized. Lineage: Eukaryota; Metazoa; Chordata; Actinopteri; Cypriniformes; Cyprinidae. The record is from RefSeq and is a predicted model, not a curated record. The transcript is spliced from 3 exons.
UUGGCUGUUUUCACUGCUGUUCUCCCUAUACAGUAAAUGACAUGAUCCAAUGUUACAAGCUCACAAAAUUUGUGGUAUGCAUGGUGGGCACACCGACAGUACAAUGCCCAGAAAAGUUUUGGUUUUGGAAGCAUACUAGGUUUGGAGACAUAUCCAAAAUGCAGGAAGCUGAAAAAAUGUUAAUGUGUCAUUAAAAAAAAAAAGAGGAAGAAAACACUCUUCUUGUUUUCUUCCUUAGCUGUGGAUUGCGGCAUUCCAGAGCUUCCUGAAUUAAUGGAACUAUCAGAUAAAGAUCCUCCAACAACUUAUCUGAACCAGAUCAGUCUUAAGUGCGAAAAUGUAUAUUAUCAACUGGAUAAAAAUGGUAAUUUGACCUGUAAUGCUGAGGGUAACUGGGUGUCCGAGAGUGGUCAACAAUUAACAGAAGAUUUGCCUAAAUGUGAACCAGUGUAUGGAAUUAAUACAGAGGCCUCUAUUGGUGGCAG